This 253-nucleotide ribosomal RNA is filed under the name uncultured bacterium. RNAcentral's name for it is "partial 16S ribosomal RNA". It matches the Rfam family "Bacterial small subunit ribosomal RNA", at positions 524 to 776 of the family's 1533-position model. The record is from RNAcentral.
UACGUAGGGACCAAGCGUUGUUCGGAUUUACUGGGCGUAAAGGGCGCGUAGGCGGUUUGUCAAGUCAGUUGUGAAAUCUCCGAGCUUAACUCGGAACGGUCAACUGAUACUGUCAAACUAGAGUACAGAAGGGGCAAUCGGAAUUCUUGGUGUAGCGGUGAAAUGCGUAGAUAUCAAGAGGAACACCUGUGGCGAAGGCGGUUCUCUGGGCAUGUCCUGACGCUGAGGAGCGAAAGUGUGGGGAGCGAACAGG